CACCUUCUUCUGUCCAGGUAUUCUGCUUGUUUUUACCGCACAAAGGUGACACUCCUUUCAUGACAGCAGAGAGAUAUUCCUGAUUUCAAGUUACCUGCCUGCCCUGCAGAUAGUACCACUCUUGAACUAUGGAUCAUGUGACCCUAACUAGUCAGUCAGGGUCCACACACCAAGUUACCAGCAACACUGCCUUCCCAAACUUUCUUAUUCUCAGAAGAUAUACAUUUGUGUACUAAUGGAGUGCUUUACCAAGGACCUGACAACACGAGGAGAUAGGAGAUAAGUGGGGGGACAUGGCCCUUAUCUAAGCCUGGCACAUAACCCUGCUGUUGUCCCUUUGCCUGAGAUCCCUUCCACAAAAAAGGGUGCAGCAGUUGCCAAUUUGUCCUGCCGUCCCAAUGAGUGUCAGGAAAACCAUUUUUCCUUCCUAGAGUUAUUAGAUAUUGUGCAGAGCCAUACCUUGUUUAACUAUAAAUCAGUCAAUGCAGAGGAGAAGUGACCAGAAUGUGACAAAAAUUAUGAAUAGAUAAUCCUCAGGGGGAGUGAUACUGACUUGUGCCUCAACAAGUCCAUGAGUAGAGCCAAAGCCAGAAGGGGGAGGUGCCUGGGAACAUUGUCUGCUUAGGGUGGGGAGGGCCUGAUCAGAACCAGAUCACGCCAUGUAAUCAUAACAGAGUUCUGCCAGGUUAUGGAUGUCAGCUGGACAGUAGGAAGAGAGCACAUCUGAUGCUGAGAAAGGACAGCUUAUUUUGCUUUUCUGCUCUCAUUCCUCAUCAUGGGAAUGAUUUGUGUUUGCCAGAAGGAACCAGCAAAGGGAUUUCUUUCUAAGCUCUUCAUUCAAGAUGUUUCCAGAAGAGGAAGAAAGCUUUUAAAGUGUCUACUCCCCCAGCACAACAUUUAUUAUGACUAAUAUGCAUCUCAUGCUCUGAAUGAUAAAGAGCACAGUGAUUUGCUCUUUUCUUCUAAAAAUAUUUGCCAUAUUUUAUUUCUAGUCACCUGUCUCUUUUGGCAAUACUCAAACUAGUAACAGUGGUAACCAACUAACCCCACUCCACUAGAUAUUUUUCUAGUGACAAUAAAAAUUAUGCAGAUUUCUAAUUUAAUAUAUAU
Molecule: long non-coding RNA, 1110 nt
Filed under: Parus major (Great Tit)
Lineage: Eukaryota; Metazoa; Chordata; Aves; Passeriformes; Paridae
Description: lncRNA (ENSPMJG00000016647.1)
Source: RNAcentral